This 253-nucleotide ribosomal RNA is filed under the name uncultured bacterium. RNAcentral describes it as "partial 16S ribosomal RNA". It matches the Rfam family "Bacterial small subunit ribosomal RNA", at positions 524 to 776 of the family's 1533-position model. The record is from RNAcentral.
UACUAGGAGGGCAAGCGUUGUCGGAAUUAUUGGGCGUAAAGAGCUUGUAGGCGGUUUGUCGCGUCUGCUGUGAAAUUUCGGGGCUCAACCCCGAACUUGCAGUGGGGUACGGGCAGACUAGAGUGUGGUAGGGGAGACUGGAAUUCCUGGUGUAGCGGUGAAAUGCGCAGAUAUCAGGAGGAACACCGAUGGCGAAGGCAGGUCUCUGGGCCAUAACUGACGCUGAGGAGCGAAAGCGUGGGGAGCGAACAGG